Molecule: ribosomal RNA, 605 nt
Filed under: Lycoprogenthes sp. 'Protaphes' UPOL A00531
Lineage: Eukaryota; Metazoa; Arthropoda; Insecta; Coleoptera; Lycidae
Also listed under: 1 other name
Description: partial 16S ribosomal RNA
Rfam family: Bacterial large subunit ribosomal RNA (bases 383-540)
Source: RNAcentral
CAUGGUUUUUUUGAAUUUGAUUUAAAAUUUAAUCUGCUCAAUGAUUAAUUAAAUUGCCGCAAUAUUUUAAUUGUGCAAAGGUAGCAUAAUAAUUAGUUUCUUGAUUGGUAGCUGGAAUGAAUGAUUAGACGAUAAAAUAGCUGUCUCUAAAUAAAUAUUUAAUGAAUUUUAUAUUUUAGUUAAAAAGCUAAAAUUUUUUUAAAAGACGAGAAGACCCCAUAGAGUUUUAUAUAGAAUAAAAUAAUUUUAUAAUUGGUAAAUAAUAAUUUUGGUUAUAUUUAGUUGGGGUGAUUGAGAAAUUUAAAUAAUUUUUUUAUUAUAAAGUUUUUGAUAUGAAAUUUUUUUUAUCUAUAAUUUUAAAUAUAAUAUAAAUUACCUUGGGGAUAACAGCGUAAUUUUUUUAAUAGUUCAUAUUGUAAAAAAAGUUUGCGACCUCGAUGUUGGAUUAAAAUUAAUUUUGGAUGAAAAAGUUUAAAUAUUAAGUCUGUUCGACUUUUAAAAUUUUACAUGAUCUGAGUUUAGACCGGUGUAAGCCAGGUCGGAUUCUAUCUUUAAUUUAUAUAAAUAUUUUAGUACGAAAGGACCAAAUAUUAAUUAUAAUAAUG